UUUCAAGAUUCAAGAUCAAACGAUGAAGGGAGCAUCUGUCGACAGUUUGAAUUUAAAUACUGUCAUGGAGUUGCUCUCUUUACCGGGUUGGUCAAAUUCAC
This 101-nucleotide microRNA precursor is filed under the name Lottia gigantea (owl limpet). RNAcentral's name for it is "microRNA lgi-mir-281 precursor". Its record names the gene lgi-mir-281. The stretch from base 12 to 93 matches the Rfam family "mir-46/mir-47/mir-281 microRNA precursor family". Rfam says of the family: The hairpin precursors (represented here) are predicted based on base pairing and cross-species conservation -- their extents are not known. In this case the mature sequences are expressed from the 3' arms of the hairpin precursors. Lineage: Eukaryota; Metazoa; Mollusca; Gastropoda; Lottiidae. The record is from miRBase by way of RNAcentral.